Molecule: long non-coding RNA, 605 nt
Organism: Agrilus planipennis (emerald ash borer)
Lineage: Eukaryota; Metazoa; Arthropoda; Insecta; Coleoptera; Buprestidae
Exons: 3
Source: RefSeq, a predicted model, not a curated record
GAAGUGAUUAAAGAAACCAUAGAAAAACUUGAACCAAAGCAGACGGACCCGGAAUCGAACCAGCGUCGUCUCGAAUACUAAGAAAUGGACUAAACCUGUAGGCCAUGCCGCCCGCUGUUUUAUGUGGUCGAUUUCACGCCCUAUUCACGUGGGAAUAAAAAAGUUGAAGAGCUAGUGUCACUUUGAGUGCGUCAUAAAAAGAAUUAUAAAUCCGUCAAAGAUAUUAAUAAUAAUCAAUCAUAUCUACAGGACGUACAACUUCUUUUAAAACAACUUGUAUUGAAUUCAUGGUGAAUGCUGCUGCUAACUGAAGUAUUUCAUAUGUUAGGCAAGAGCUUUACUAAGGACCAGUUACUAAUGUUGGUGGGACAGUGGUACCUCCUAAUCACGUCUAAAAUGAGACGAAAGAACCACUUUACUCUCUUUUUAGGAAUCAUGAGAGUGGAUUGAUGAUAGCUAGGGAGAAACAGAAGAAACGAGUGAAAUGAGGAGAAUGAAACUAUUAUCUAAGGCAUUCAGAUAAUUUUGAGAAGAGAUUAAUAUUGUUAUUAUUUAUACUAUUUUAUAACAAAAAAGAAAUUAAAAUAAGUUUAUUGCUUUGGAAC